GGGGCUUUAGCUCAGUUGGUAGAGCAUCUGCUUUGCAAGCAGAGGGUCAGCGGUUCGACUCCGCUAAGCUCCACCA
Molecule: transfer RNA, 76 nt
Filed under: Robiginitomaculum sp.
Lineage: Bacteria; Pseudomonadati; Pseudomonadota; Alphaproteobacteria; Maricaulales; Robiginitomaculaceae
Description: tRNA-Ala
Rfam family: tRNA
About the family: Transfer RNA (tRNA) molecules are approximately 80 nucleotides in length. Their secondary structure includes four short double-helical elements and three loops (D, anti-codon, and T loops).
Source: RNAcentral